AAUAGAUACCCUGGUAGUCCACGCCGUAAACGAUGAGUGCUAAGUGUUAGAGGGUUUCCGCCCGUUUAGUGCUGCAGCUAACGCAUUAAGCACUCCGCCUGGGGAGUACGGCCGCAAGGCUGAAACUCAAAGGAAUUGACGGGGGCCCGCACAAGCGGUGGAGCAUGUGGUUUAAUUCGAAGCAACGCGAAGAACCUUACCAGGUCUUGACAUCCUCUGACAACCCUAGAGAUAGGGCUUUCCCCUUCGGGGGACAGAGUGACAGGUGGUGCAUGGUUGUCGUCAGCUCGUGUCGUGAGAUGUUGGGUUAAGUCCCGCAACGAGCGCAACCCUUGAUCUUAGUUGCCAGCAUUCAGUUGGGCACUCUAAGGUGACUGCCGGUGACAAACCGGAGGAAGGUGGGGAUGACGUCAAAUCAUCAUGCCCCUUAUGACCUGGGCUACACACGUGCUACAAUGGAUGGUACAAAGGGCUGCAAACCUGCGAGGGUAAGCGAAUCCCAUAAAGCCAUUCUCAGUUCGGAUUGCAGG
This 530-nucleotide ribosomal RNA is filed under the name uncultured bacterium. RNAcentral's name for it is "bacterial SSU rRNA". It matches the Rfam family "Bacterial small subunit ribosomal RNA", at positions 777 to 1304 of the family's 1533-position model. The record is from RNAcentral.